RNAcentral lists this ribosomal RNA (581 nucleotides) under uncultured Dokdonella sp. RNAcentral describes it as "bacterial SSU rRNA". It matches the Rfam family "Bacterial small subunit ribosomal RNA", at positions 102 to 679 of the family's 1533-position model. Lineage: Bacteria; Pseudomonadati; Pseudomonadota; Gammaproteobacteria; Lysobacterales; Rhodanobacteraceae. The record is from RNAcentral.
ACGGGUGAGGAAUACAUCGGAAUCUGCCUUGUCGUGGGGGAUAACGUAGGGAAACUUACGCUAAUACCGCAUACGACCGAGAGGUGAAAGCGGGGGAUCGCAAGACCUCGCGCGACAAGAUGAGCCGAUGUCGGAUUAGCUAGUUGGCGGGGUAAGAGCCCACCAAGGCGACGAUCCGUAGCUGGUCUGAGAGGAUGAUCAGCCACACUGGAACUGAGACACGGUCCAGACUCCUACGGGAGGCAGCAGUGGGGAAUAUUGGACAAUGGGCGCAAGCCUGAUCCAGCCAUGCCGCGUGGGUGAAGAAGGCCUUCGAGUUGUAAAGCCCUUUUGUUGGGGACGAAAUCGUACGGGUGAAUAUCCCGUGCGGAUGACGGUACCCAAAGAAUAAGCACCGGCUAACUUCGUGCCAGCAGCCGCGGUAAUACGAAGGGUGCAAGCGUUACUCGGAAUUACUGGGCGUAAAGCGUGCGUAGGCGGUUUGUUAAGUCCGCUGUGAAAGCCCUGGGCUCAACCUGGGAAUUGCAGUGGAUACUGGCAAGCUAGAGUGCGGUAGAGGAUGGUGGAAUUCCCGGUGUAGC